RNAcentral lists this ribosomal RNA (2701 nucleotides) under Pseudomonas fragi. RNAcentral describes it as "23S ribosomal RNA". The stretch from base 390 to 2701 matches the Rfam family "Bacterial large subunit ribosomal RNA". Lineage: Bacteria; Pseudomonadati; Pseudomonadota; Gammaproteobacteria; Pseudomonadales; Pseudomonadaceae. The record is from RNAcentral.
GCAACGAAGUGAUCGCAGUAGCUGGCGGCAAAGUUGAUGUCAUGCACCACCAGAAUCACCGUGCGCCCCUGUUCGUCGCACAAGCGGCGCAGCGCCCGCAUAAUCUGUACGGCGUGCUUGAUAUCGAGGUUGUUCAGCGGCUCAUCGAGCAGCAGGCAAUCGGUUUGCUGGGCGAUGGUCAUGGCCAGAAAGGCCAUCUGCCGCUGCCCGCCGCUGAGUUCGUCGAGGUAGGCAUGGCGCAGCGCUUGCAGCGACAGAAAGGCGAUGGCCUCGUCGAUGAUCCGUUGAUCUUCGCCGGUCAACACACCGCGGCUGUAUGGGAAACGCCCGAAGGCAACCAGUUCCUCCACCCGAAGGCGCAGGUUGAAGUCCGGUGACUGGCGCAAAGUGGCCACGCGCCUGGCGUAAUCGCCAAUCGCGAUACCCGCGACCCCACGCCCCUCGAUGCGUACUUCACCGGCCGUGGGCUCCAUCAGCCGCGCUAUCAUCAUCAACAGCGUGGUUUUGCCCGCGCCGUUGGGGCCGAUCAGCGCCGUCAGUUGCCGGGGCGGGAAACUCGCGUCGACACCGCGUAGUACGGUCUUGCUGCCAUAGGUUUUAUGGAUGUCGUGAACAGUGAUCAUGGAGCUCCUCGGGUACGCACCAUCAACACCAGUAGAGCACUGUUUCGGCUAGGGGGCCAUCCCGGCUUACCAAACCGAUGCAAACUCCGAAUACCUACAAGUGCCGAGCAUGGGAGACACACGGCGGGUGCUAACGUCCGUCGUGAAAAGGGAAACAACCCAGACCGUCAGCUAAGGUCCCAAAGUUAUGGUUAAGUGGGAAACGAUGUGGGAAGGCUUAGACAGCUAGGAGGUUGGCUUAGAAGCAGCCACCCUUUAAAGAAAGCGUAAUAGCUCACUAGUCGAGUCGGCCUGCGCGGAAGAUUUAACGGGGCUCAAACCAUACACCGAAGCUACGGGUAUCACCUUAGGGUGAUGCGGUAGAGGAGCGUUCUGUAAGCCUGUGAAGGUGAGUUGAGAAGCUUGCUGGAGGUAUCAGAAGUGCGAAUGCUGACAUGAGUAACGAUAAUGGGUGUGAAAAACACCCACGCCGAAAGACCAAGGUUUCCUGCGCAACGUUAAUCGACGCAGGGUUAGUCGGUCCCUAAGGCGAGGCUGAAAAGCGUAGUCGAUGGAAAACAGGUUAAUAUUCCUGUACUUCUGGUUAUUGCGAUGGAGGGACGGAGAAGGCUAGGCCAGCUUGGCGUUGGUUGUCCAAGUUUAAGGUGGUAGGCUGGAAUCUUAGGUAAAUCCGGGAUUCUAAGGCCGAGAGCUGAUGACGAGUGUUCUUUUAGAACACGAAGUGGUUGAUGCCAUGCUUCCAAGAAAAGCUUCUAAGCUUCAGGUAACCAGGAACCGUACCCCAAACCGACACAGGUGGUUGGGUAGAGAAUACCAAGGCGCUUGAGAGAACUCGGGUGAAGGAACUAGGCAAAAUGGCACCGUAACUUCGGGAGAAGGUGCGCCGAUGGAGGUGAAGCAUUUACUGCGUAAGCCCCUGUCGGUCGAAGAUACCAGGCCGGCUGCGACUGUUUUAUUAAAAACACAGCACUCUGCAAACACGAAAGUGGACGUAUAGGGUGUGACGCCUGCCCGGUGCCGGAAGGUUAAUUGAUGGGGUUAGCUAACGCGAAGCUCUUGAUCGAAGCCCCGGUAAACGGCGGCCGUAACUAUAACGGUCCUAAGGUAGCGAAAUUCCUUGUCGGGUAAGUUCCGACCUGCACGAAUGGCGUAACGAUGGCGGCGCUGUCUCCACCCGAGACUCAGUGAAAUUGAAAUCGCUGUGAAGAUGCAGUGUAUCCGCGGCUAGACGGAAAGACCCCGUGAACCUUUACUAUAGCUUUGCACUGGACUUUGAAUUUGCUUGUGUAGGAUAGGUGGGAGGCUUUGAAGCGUGAACGCCAGUUUGCGUGGAGCCAACCUUGAAAUACCACCCUGGCAACUUUGAGGUUCUAACUCAGGUCCGUUAUCCGGAUCGAGGACAGUGUAUGGUGGGUAGUUUGACUGGGCGGUCUCCUCCUAAAGAGUAACGGAGGAGUACGAAGGUGCGCUCAGACCGGUCGGAAAUCGGUCGUAGAGUAUAAAGGCAAAAGCGCGCUUGACUGCGAGACAGACACGUCGAGCAGGUACGAAAGUAGGUCUUAGUGAUCCGGUGGUUCUGUAUGGAAGGGCCAUCGCUCAACGGAUAAAAGGUACUCCGGGGAUAACAGGCUGAUACCGCCCAAGAGUUCAUAUCGACGGCGGUGUUUGGCACCUCGAUGUCGGCUCAUCACAUCCUGGGGCUGAAGCCGGUCCCAAGGGUAUGGCUGUUCGCCAUUUAAAGUGGUACGCGAGCUGGGUUUAGAACGUCGUGAGACAGUUCGGUCCCUAUCUGCCGUGGACGUUUGAGAUUUGAGAGGGGCUGCUCCUAGUACGAGAGGACCGGAGUGGACGAACCUCUGGUGUUCCGGUUGUCACGCCAGUGGCAUUGCCGGGUAGCUAUGUUCGGGAAAGAUAACCGCUGAAAGCAUCUAAGCGGGAAACUUGCCUCAAGAUGAGAUCUCACUGGAACCUUGAGUUCCCUAAAGGGCCGUCGAAGACUACGACGUUGAUAGGUUGGGUGUGUAAGCGCUGUGAGGCGUUGAGCUAACCAAUACUAAUUGCCCGUGAGGCUUGACCAU